RNAcentral lists this ribosomal RNA (267 nucleotides) under uncultured bacterium. Its description in RNAcentral is "partial 16S ribosomal RNA". It matches the Rfam family "Bacterial small subunit ribosomal RNA", at positions 87 to 353 of the family's 1533-position model. The record is from RNAcentral.
GGUUUCUAGUGGCGGACGGGUGAGUAACGCGUGGGUAACCUGCCUUAUACAGGGGAUAACAACCAGAAAUGGUUGCUAAUACCGCAUAAGCGCACAGGACCGCAUGGUCCGGUGUGAAAAACUCCGGUGGUAUAAGAUGGACCCACGUUGGAUUAGCUAGUUGGCAGGGUAACGGCCUACCAAGGCGACGAUCCAUAGCCGGCCUGAGAGGGUGAACGGCCACAUUGGGACUGAGACACGGUCCAAACUCCUACGGGAGGCAGCAUG